This 303-nucleotide ribosomal RNA is filed under the name uncultured bacterium. Its description in RNAcentral is "partial 16S ribosomal RNA". It matches the Rfam family "Bacterial small subunit ribosomal RNA", at positions 200 to 507 of the family's 1533-position model. The record is from RNAcentral.
GGUAAAGGAGUCGGGGGGGGGGGGAUGCGUCCCAUUAGUUAGUUGGCGGGGUAACGGCCCACCAAGACGACGAUGGGUAGGGGUUCUGAGAGGAAGGUCCCCCACAUUGGAACUGAGACACGGUCCAAACUCCUACGGGAGGCAGCAGUGAGGAAUAUUGGUCAAUGGGCGCAAGCCUGAACCAGCCAAGUAGCGUGCAGGAUGACGGCCCUAUGGGUUGUAAACUGCUUUUAUAAGGGAAUAAAGUGGGUCACGUGUGACUUUUUGCAUGUACCUUAUGAAUAAGGACCGGCUAAUUCCGUG